Molecule: ribosomal RNA, 663 nt
Filed under: uncultured cyanobacterium
Lineage: Bacteria; Bacillati; Cyanobacteriota
Description: bacterial SSU rRNA
Rfam family: Bacterial small subunit ribosomal RNA
Source: RNAcentral
CGGACGGGUGAGUAACGCGUGAGAAUCUGGCUUCAGGUCUGGGACAACCACUGGAAACGGUGGCUAAUACCGGAUGUGCCGAAAGGUGAAAGGUUAACUGCCUGAAGAUGAGCUCGCGUCUGAUUAGCUAGUUGGUAGAGUAAAAGCCUACCAAGGCGACGAUCAGUAGCUGGUCUGAGAGGACGAUCAGCCACACUGGGACUGAGACACGGCCCAGACUCCUACGGGGGGCAGCAGUGGGGAAUUUUCCGCAAUGGGCGAAAGCCUGACGGAGCAAUACCGCGUGAGGGAGGAAGGCUCUUGGGUCGUAAACCUCUUUUCUCAGGGAAGAACACAAUGACGGUACCUGAGGAAUAAGCAUCGGCUAACUCCGUGCCAGCAGCCGCGGUAAUACGGAGGAUGCAAGCGUUAUCCGGAAUGAUUGGGCGUAAAGCGUCCGCAGGUGGCAAUGUAAGUCUGCUGUUAAAGAGUCUAGCUCAACUAGAUAAGAGCAGUGGAAACUACAUAGCUAGAGUACGUUCGGGGCAGAGGGAAUUCCUGGUGUAGCGGUGAAAUGCGUAGAGAUCAGGAAGAACACCAGUGGCGAAGGCGCUCUGCUAGGCCGUAACUGACACUGAGGGACGAAAGCUAGGGGAGCGAAUGGGAUUAGAUACCCCAGUAGUC